CUGGCGGCGUGCUUAACACAUGCAAGUCGAACGAUGAAGCUUCUAGCUUGCUGGGGGUGGAUUAGUGGCGAACGGGUGAGUAACACGUGAGUAACCUGCCCUCUUCUUCGGGAUAAACUUGGGAAACUGGGUCUAAUACCGGAUAUUCAACUUCUGUCGCAUGGUGGUUGUUGGAAAGAUUUAUCGGAGGGGGAUGGGCUCGCGGCCUAUCAGCUUGUUGGUGGGGUAGUGGCCUACCAAGGCGUCGACGGGUAGCCGGCCUGAGAGGGUGACCGGCCACACUGGGACUGAGAUACGGCCCAGACUCCUACGGGAGGCAGCAGUGGGGAAUAUUGCACAAUGAGCGAAAGCUUGAUGCAGCGACGCCGCGUGAGGGAUGACGGCUUUCGGGUUGUAAACCUCUUUCGGUAGGGAACAAGGCCAUGUUUUUGCAUGGUUGAGGGUACCUGCAUAAGAAGCGCCGGCUAACUACGUGCCAGCAGCCGCGGUAAUACGUAGGGCGCGAGCGUUGUCCGGAAUUAUUGGGCGUAAAGAGCCCGUAGGCGGCUUGUCACGUCUGCUGUGAAAACGCGGGGCUUAACUCCGCGCUUGCAGUGGGUACGGGCAGGCUUGAGUAUAGUAGGGGAGACUGGAAUUCCUGGUGUAGCGGUGGAAUGCGCAGAUAUCAGGAGGAACACCGAUGGCGAAGGCAGGUCUCUGGGCUAUAACUGACGCUGAGGAGCGAAAGCAUGGGGAGCGAACAGGAUUAGAUACCCUGGUAGUCCAUGCCGUAAACGGUGGGCACUAGGUGUGGGGACCUUUGGUUUCUGCGCCGUAGCUAACGCAUUAAGUGCCCCGCCUGGGGAGUACGGCCGCAAGGCUAAAACUCAAAGGAAUUGACGG
This 882-nucleotide ribosomal RNA is filed under the name uncultured Actinomycetes bacterium. Its description in RNAcentral is "bacterial SSU rRNA". It matches the Rfam family "Bacterial small subunit ribosomal RNA", at positions 36 to 916 of the family's 1533-position model. Lineage: Bacteria; Bacillati; Actinomycetota; Actinomycetes. The record is from RNAcentral.